Molecule: ribosomal RNA, 233 nt
Filed under: uncultured bacterium
Lineage: Bacteria
Description: partial 16S ribosomal RNA
Rfam family: Bacterial small subunit ribosomal RNA
Source: RNAcentral
UUGUUCGGAAUUACUGGGCGUAAAGACGCAUGUAGGCGGACAUUUAAGUCAGGGGUGGAAAUACCCGGGGCGUCAACCUCGGAACUGCCUUUGAUACAGGGUGUCUAGAGUGUGGAAGAGGCAAGUGGAAUUCCGAGUGUAGAGGUGAAAUUCGUAGAUAUUCGGAGGAACACCAGUGGCGAAGGCGGCUUACUGGUCCAUUACUGACGCUGAGGUGCGAAAGCGUGGGGAGC